GGACUACUGGGGUAUCUAAUCCUGUUUGCUCCCCUUGCUCUCGCGCCUCAGCGUCAGGUAUAAACUAGAAAACCGCUUUCGCCACAGGUGUUCUUCCACAUAUCUACGCAUUUCACCGCUACACGUGGAAUUCCGUUUUCUCCGUCAAUCCUCUAGAAAAAUAGUUUCAAAUGCAGCUCCGAAGUUGAGCUUCGGAAUUUCACAUCUGACUUGUUCUCCCGCCUACGCGCCCUUUACGCCCAAUUAUUCCGAUUAAUGCUUGCACUCUCCGUAUUACCGCGGCGGCUGGCAC
This 292-nucleotide ribosomal RNA is filed under the name uncultured bacterium. Its description in RNAcentral is "partial 16S ribosomal RNA". The record is from RNAcentral.